RNAcentral lists this ribosomal RNA (1308 nucleotides) under human gut metagenome. Its description in RNAcentral is "bacterial LSU rRNA". It matches the Rfam family "Bacterial large subunit ribosomal RNA", at positions 1116 to 2494 of the family's 2925-position model. The record is from RNAcentral.
CACUCAUUUAAAGAGUGCGUAAUAGCUCACUAGUCGAGUGAUUGUGCGCCGAAAAUGUAACGGGGCUAAAAUUCAUACCGAAGCUUAGGAAUGAUAGUAAUAUUGUUGGUAGAUGAGCGUUGUGUAAGUCUGCGAAGCUACACCGAAAGGAGUAGUGGAGAUAUCACAAGUGAGAAUGCCGGAAUGAGUAGCGAGAAUUAUGUGAGAAUCAUAAUGGUCGAAAAUCUAAGGUUUCUUGAGGAAGGUUCGUCCGCUCAAGGUAAGCCGGGAGCUAAGGCGAGGCCGAGAGGCGUAGUCGAUGCACAUACGGUAAAAAUUCCGUAGCCACCGAAGUCGUUAAAUACAGGGACACAGGAACAUAGCCCAUCCCCACCGUUGGUUGAGUGGGGCGUAAGGGAGCGAAAAUUAGUAGCGAAGUGGGUGAUUGUACACUGGCGAGAAAAGCUGUAUGAAUUGACAAGGUGCCCGUACCGCAAACCGACACAGGUAGAUGAGGAGAGAAUCCUAAGACCAGCGGGAGAAGUGUUGUUAAGGAACUCGGCAAAAUGACCCCGUAACUUCGGGAUAAGGGGAGCCUACGAGAGUAGGCCGCAGAGAAUAGUCUCAAGCGACUGUUUAGCAAAAACACAGGUCUAUGCUAAAUCGAAAGAUGAUGUAUAUGGGCUGACGCCUGCCCGGUGCUGGAAGGUUAAGGGGAAGUGUUAGAGCAAUCGAAGCACUGAACUUAAGCCCCAGUAAACGGCGGCCGUAACUAUAACGGUCCUAAGGUAGCGAAAUUCCUUGUCAGGUAAGUUCUGACCCGCACGAAUGGCGUAACGACUUGAGAGCUGUCUCAACAACAUACCCGGCGAAAUUGAAGUACUGGUAAAGAUGCCAGUUACCCGUGAUAAGACGGAAAGACCCCAUGGAGCUUUACUGUAACUUGAUAUUGAAUUUUUGUAUUACAUGUACAGGAUAGGUGGGAGACAGAGAACUAAUGCCGCCAGGUGUUAGGGAGUCGAUGUUGGGAUACCACUCUUGUAAUAUGAAGGUUCUAACCUGCACCCGUGAAUCCGGGUGGGGGACACUGUCAGGUGGACAGUUUGACUGGGGCGGUCGCCUCCUAAAAGGUAACGGAGGCGUUCAAAGGUUGGUUCAGCACGGACGGAAAUCGUGCAACGAGUGCAAACGCAUAAACCAGCCUAACUGCGAGACCGACAAGUCGAGCAGUAACGAAAGUUGGAGUUAGUGAUCCGGCGGUAUGAGAGUGGAAUUGCCGUCGCUCAACGGAUAAAAGCUACCCUGGGGAUAACAGGCUGAUCUCCCCCA